AACGUAGGAGCCAAGCGUUAUCCGAAUUCACUGGGCGUAAAGCGCGUGCAGGCGGCCGGCUAAGUUGGGUGUGAAAUCUCCCGGCUCAACUGGGAGGCGACGUUCAAAACUGGCUGGCUAGAGGGCGAGAGAGGGAGGUGGAAUUCCCGGUGUAGUGGUGAAAUGCGUAGAUAUCGGGAGGAACACCAGUGGCGAAAGCGGCCUCCUGGCUCGACCCUGACGCUCAGACGCGAAAGCUAGGGGAGCGAACGGG
This 253-nucleotide ribosomal RNA is filed under the name uncultured Bellilinea sp. RNAcentral describes it as "partial 16S ribosomal RNA". It matches the Rfam family "Bacterial small subunit ribosomal RNA", at positions 524 to 776 of the family's 1533-position model. Lineage: Bacteria; Bacillati; Chloroflexota; Anaerolineae; Anaerolineales; Anaerolineaceae. The record is from RNAcentral.